Molecule: long non-coding RNA, 532 nt
Organism: Brassica oleracea var. oleracea
Lineage: Eukaryota; Viridiplantae; Streptophyta; Magnoliopsida; Brassicales; Brassicaceae
Exons: 5
Source: RefSeq, a predicted model, not a curated record
UUGCAGCAGUUCGAUCCCAUUAAAGCCCUUAGUGAAAAAAAUUCCAAAAACCUGCAUAUGUUUUCAACUCAAUACUAGUCCUAACUCAAAACACCAUCAAACUUAAAACCAAUAAAAAGACUGAUCCAGACACACAAGAAACCGUAAAAUCAAACGAUCAAAAUUUCAGGAGCAAGAAAAUAAUCAACUUUAUCUGAGAAACUCAUAGCAAAUUGUUCGUGGUACGUUGGCUCUACCACACUCUGUUAAAAAGGAUGUGAGAGUGGCUUUCUUUGCCGAGGGUUCUGAUGCAGAGGAUGCAAAGGCUGCAGGAGCUGAUGUCGUCGGUGGUCUUGAGCCUAUUGAUGAAAUCUUGAAAAGCGGCAAGAUCGACUUUGACAGAUGCUUAGCAACUCCGAAAAUGAUGCCCCGUGUUUACAAGAUAUCAAGGAUUCUUAACAACCAUGGUUUGAUGCCUAACCCCAAAGUAAGUUGGAUUCUUCACUCAAACAUUUUACUCUCGAUGUAUCAGUUGGUGUAUACUUAUAUGUUG